UGGCGAACGGGUGAGUAACACGUGGGUAACCUGCCCAUCAGAAGGGGAUAACACUUGGAAACAGGUGCUAAUACCGUAUAACACUAUUUUCCGCAUGGAAGAAAGUUGAAAGGCGCUUUUGCGUCACUGAUGGAUGGACCCGCGGUGCAUUAGCUAGUUGGUGAGGUAACGGCUCACCAAGGCAACGAUGCAUAGCCGACCUGAGAGGGUGAUCGGCCACACUGGGACUGAGACACGGCCCAGACUCCUACGGGAGGCAGCAGUAGGGAAUCUUCGGCAAUGGACGAAAGUCUGACCGAGCAACGCCGCGUGAGUGAAGAAGGUUUUCGGAUCGUAAAACUCUGUUGUUAGAGAAGAACAAGGAUGAGAGUAAAACGUUCAUCCCUGACGUAUCUAACCAG
This 401-nucleotide ribosomal RNA is filed under the name Enterococcus casseliflavus. RNAcentral's name for it is "bacterial SSU rRNA". It matches the Rfam family "Bacterial small subunit ribosomal RNA", at positions 96 to 486 of the family's 1533-position model. Lineage: Bacteria; Bacillati; Bacillota; Bacilli; Lactobacillales; Enterococcaceae. The record is from RNAcentral.